Molecule: microRNA precursor, 64 nt
Filed under: Myotis brandtii (Brandt's bat)
Lineage: Eukaryota; Metazoa; Chordata; Mammalia; Chiroptera; Vespertilionidae
Description: mir-9242 microRNA precursor family
Rfam family: mir-9242 microRNA precursor family
Source: Rfam by way of RNAcentral
GGCCUACCUCUUUGGGGUGAUUGAUCAUGGGGCUCCGUGAUCGAUUGCCUCACAGAGGGAGGCC